UAGGGAAUCUUCGGCAAUGGACGAAAGUCUGACCGAGCAACGCCGCGUGAGUGAAGAAGGUUUUCGGAUCGUAAAACUCUGUUGGUAGAGAAGAACGUUGGUGAGAGUGGAAAGCUCAUCAAGUGACGGUAACUACCCAGAAAGGGACGGCUAACUACGUGCCAU
Molecule: ribosomal RNA, 165 nt
Filed under: uncultured bacterium
Lineage: Bacteria
Description: partial 16S ribosomal RNA
Rfam family: Bacterial small subunit ribosomal RNA
Source: RNAcentral